CCCUUUAUGUACAUAUUGUAUUUAUGUACUUAUUUUGUGUCAGCACUAGGAAAGUGUUUAUUUAAAAUGUGUCUGAAUAAUCCUAUAAUGGAUGGGCCAUGUAAGCGGCCAGACCCGAAAAUAAACCAUUCAUUCAUUCAUUUAUAUGGGCCUCUAAAUAGUAACAG
Long non-coding RNA from Sander lucioperca (pikeperch), 167 nucleotides. RefSeq lists it as uncharacterized. Lineage: Eukaryota; Metazoa; Chordata; Actinopteri; Perciformes; Percidae. The record is from RefSeq and is a predicted model, not a curated record. The transcript is spliced from 3 exons.